This 253-nucleotide ribosomal RNA is filed under the name uncultured bacterium. RNAcentral describes it as "partial 16S ribosomal RNA". It matches the Rfam family "Bacterial small subunit ribosomal RNA", at positions 524 to 776 of the family's 1533-position model. The record is from RNAcentral.
UACGAAGGGGGCUAGCGUUGCUCGGAAUCACUGGGCGUAAAGGGUGCGUAGGCGGGUCUUUAAGUCAGAGGUGAAAUCCUGGAGCUCAACUCCAGAACUGCCUUUGAUACUGAGGAUCUUGAGUUCGGGAGAGGUGAGUGGAACUGCGAGUGUAGAGGUGAAAUUCGUAGAUAUUCGCAGGAACACCAGUGGCGAAGGCAGCUCGCUGGGACGGUACUGACGCUGAGGCGCGAAAGCGUGGGGAGCAAACAGG